GUAUUUGCUCUCAUUAAAACACCUGUGCUUUGCCCCGCCCACCGACCAAACGAGAGUAAACUGGUCGAAAACUGUAGCAAGUGAAUGGGACACCUGAAGAAAAAUGCUGAUGAUGCCAUUGACAAGCGAUACGGCGUUAAUUUGUCUUCACCUGUGAUGGAGAAUGAGAGCUGUGGAAAAGUGCAGGCUGCAGGAAGUCGAGGGCCACCCGAGAUCUCCGGGAUUUUGCUCUCCACUGGACCCACACGAGGUUGGAUGGAGACAUCGCAGAUCAUGACCCAGAAACAAAUGGCAUAAUGACUGGAGUCUCGAGGCUAAAGACAUCAAGGAUAUCCAGCUGAUCUCAGAGGUCAACAGGUCCUCUCAGUCAACUGGAGAAGAGCCUGAAUUUCACAAAGACAGGAGCUUCGAGAUACCCACUCACAAUAAUACCAAGACUGUGCUAUUUAUUUCUGUAUUUCUGUCAUCUGGUUUUAUAACCUUGUUGCCCACAUUGACAAUUACUGUGACCUUGCACUAAUAUAAAAAAAAGUAUUUAUUUAUUUAAUUUUACAUAGAGAACACUAUGACACAAAAUGGAAUGAAAAUAUUUUGCACAUUGAAACUUGUAUUUAUUUCAUGUAAUUGAUUGAGUCUAACAAGUAUAUUUUUGACAGCUAAAUAAAGCUUUUUUUCCCUUUAA
Long non-coding RNA from Scatophagus argus, 682 nucleotides. RefSeq lists it as uncharacterized. The record is from RefSeq and is a predicted model, not a curated record. NCBI's taxonomy places the organism in Eukaryota, Metazoa, Chordata, Actinopteri, Scatophagidae. The transcript is spliced from 4 exons.